GACGAACGCUGGCGGCGUGCCUAAUACAUGCAAGUAGAACGCUGAAGGAGGAGCUUGCUCUUCUGGAUGAGUUGCGAACGGGUGAGUAACGCGUAGGUAGCCUGCCUGGUAGCGGGGGAUAACUAUUGGAAACGAUAGCUAAUACCGCAUAACAGUAGAUGUUGCAUGACAUUUACUUAAAAGGUGCAAUUGCAUCACUACCAGAUGGACCUGCGUUGUAUUAGCUAGUUGGUGGGGUAACGGCUCACCAAGGCGACGAUACAUAGCCGACCUGAGAGGGGGGUCGGCCACACUGGGACUGAGACACGGCCCAGACUCCUACGGGAGGCAGCAGUAGGGAAUCUUCGGCAAUGGACGGAAGUCUGACCGAGCAACGCCGCGUGAGUGAAGAAGGUUUUCGGAUCGUAAAGCUCUGUUGUAAGAGAAGAACGAGUGUGAGAGUGGAAAGUUCACACUGUGACGGUAUCUUACCAGAAAGGGACGGCUAACUACGUG
RNAcentral lists this ribosomal RNA (495 nucleotides) under uncultured bacterium. Its description in RNAcentral is "partial 16S ribosomal RNA". It matches the Rfam family "Bacterial small subunit ribosomal RNA", at positions 28 to 507 of the family's 1533-position model. The record is from RNAcentral.